This 460-nucleotide ribosomal RNA is filed under the name uncultured bacterium. RNAcentral describes it as "partial 16S ribosomal RNA". It matches the Rfam family "Bacterial small subunit ribosomal RNA", at positions 338 to 795 of the family's 1533-position model. The record is from RNAcentral.
CCUACGGGUGGCAGCAGUGAGGAAUAUUGGUCAAUGGACGAGAGUCUGAACCAGCCAAGUAGCGUGAAGGAUGACUGCCCUAUGGGUUGUAAACUUCUUUUAUAAAGGAAUAAAACGAGGCACGUGUGCCUUUUUGCAUGUACUUUAUGAUUAAGGAUCGGCUAACUCCGUGCCAGCAGCCGCGGUAAUACGGAGGCUCCGAGCGUUAUCCGGAUUUAUUGGGUUUAAAGGGAGCGUAGGGGGGUUGUUAAGUCAGUUGUGAAAGUUUGCGGCUUAACCGUAAAAGUGCAAUUGAUACUGGCAGUCUAGAGUACAGUGGAGGUAGGCGGAAUUCGUGGUGUAGCGGUGAAAUGCUUAGAUAUCACGAAGAACCCCGAUUGCGAAGGCAGCUUACUAAACUGUGACUGACAUUGAUGCUCGAAAGUGUGGGUAUCAAACAGGAUUAGAUACCCUGGUAGUC